Molecule: unclassified non-coding RNA, 226 nt
Filed under: Hevea brasiliensis (rubber tree)
Lineage: Eukaryota; Viridiplantae; Streptophyta; Magnoliopsida; Malpighiales; Euphorbiaceae
Source: RNAcentral
GCGCCGAUCACGUUCUUGUAGGCGACGGAGAGGAGAUUGCGCUCCUCGACAGUAAGCUCUUCAGAUUCCGGUGUGGAAAAGACGACCUUCUCCAUGAAUUGGACCAUUUCUUCAUAACGCUCAGCUUGCUCGGCGAGCUUGGCCAUGUAGACGUUAUCUUCGCGUGGAGAUCCGGCGGCCAUUUUCGGAAUUCUUCUGGUUUUGGGCGUGAGAUUUGGGAGUUAUU